Molecule: long non-coding RNA, 616 nt
Organism: Elaeis guineensis (African oil palm)
Lineage: Eukaryota; Viridiplantae; Streptophyta; Magnoliopsida; Arecales; Arecaceae
Source: RefSeq, a predicted model, not a curated record
CCUAACUCGAUCUCAUUUGUUAUAAAAGCCAAAGCUUAGUAGAAGGAUCAUCGCACUUCAGGAAAACGAGGUAGAGGGAAUAAAAGGAAAAUGCUUCCAAAGACAUUCCUCCUACUCUAUCUGCUCCUCCUCUCCACUUCAUCCAUUCCAUCGGGGAUGGCUGCAAGGAAUCUUGCUCAGGAUGGAACUGUCGGAUAUAUCGGAUAUCGUGCCCUGGCACCGAAAUCACCGGUAUGGAAAUCACCCCCGGGGCAACCUUACCGUCGUCGUCCGGGGUGCACGACGAUCUAUAAAUGUCGAGGUCCGCCGGUCCCAUAGCUUCAGAGAAAAACAGUGGGCAUACUACUGGUGGAUGCUGCGGCCGGUCCAACCCCUUGAAAUGGACGUAUAUGAACUAAAAUAAGCGGCAGCAUAAAUGGAAGUCGUGUUCGGUUAAUUUGCUGCAUGUGUACGGUGUAAUGGUAGCAAAUAUGGCGCCUUUUAAAGUUCCGUUCCACGGAGUUGCGGUCUCUUUCUUGUCCACUUCUUUAUUGUUAUUUUUUGCGUUCCAUAUCUAUGGUCGGAUGGAAAUCUUGACAUCCCCCACUAAUUGCAGUAAUUAAAGUUAAAUGAUACA